RNAcentral lists this ribosomal RNA (417 nucleotides) under Trogoderma teukton. Its description in RNAcentral is "partial 16S ribosomal RNA". It matches the Rfam family "Bacterial large subunit ribosomal RNA", at positions 1842 to 2522 of the family's 2925-position model. The record is from RNAcentral. Lineage: Eukaryota; Metazoa; Arthropoda; Insecta; Coleoptera; Dermestidae.
UUUAUUAAAAGUCUGGCCUGCUCCCUGAGGUAUUUAAUAGCCGCAGUAUUUUGACUGUGCGAAGGUAGCAUAAUAAUUAGUUUCUUUAUUGGGAACUGGAAUGAAUGGUCGGACGAGAUAGUUUCUGUCUCCCCCUUAUUUAUAUGAAUUUUACUUUUGAGUUAAAAGGCUCAAAUUUAUUUAAAAGACGAGAAGACCCUAUAGAGUUUUAUUGUUGUAUUUGUAAGGUUUUGGUAUUUAGACUUUCAAUGUUAGAAACAAUUUAGUUGGGGUGACUGGAAAAUUGAUUGAACUUUUCCUUUAUUUUUACAUUUAUUUAUGAUUAUAUGAUCCACGGAUUGUGAUUAUAAGAUAUAAUUACCUUAGGGAUAACAGCGUAAUUUUUCUUGAGAGUUCAAAUCGAAAGAAGAGUUUGCG